CUACGGGGCGCACCAGUUAGGAAUAUUCUGCAAUGCGCGAAAGCGUGACAGAUUGAGCCAGAGUGCUUUUCAAUUGAAAAGCUUUUGCCAAAUGUAAAAAGUUUGGCGAAUAAGGACUGGGUAAGACGAGUGCCAGCCGCCGCGGUAAUACUCGCGGUCCAAGUCGCAGCCAUUUUUAUUGGGUCUAAAACAUCCGUAGCUUGUUUGAUAAGUUUCUUGUGAAAUUCCAUAUCUUAAAUGUGGAGCGGGCAAGAAGUACUGUUGAACUAGAGACUGGAAGACGUAAGAAGUAUGUUUGGAGUAGCGGUAAAAUGUGUUAAUCCCAGACAGACUCACAAUAGCGAAGGCAUCUUACGAGGACAGUUCUGACAGUAAGGGAUGAAGGCUAGGGGCACAAAACGGAUUAGAUACCCCUGUAGUC
This 421-nucleotide ribosomal RNA is filed under the name uncultured archaeon. RNAcentral's name for it is "partial 16S ribosomal RNA". It matches the Rfam family "Archaeal small subunit ribosomal RNA", at positions 323 to 746 of the family's 1478-position model. The record is from RNAcentral.